UAAACUGAACUUUUUCCUUUUAGUUAGCAUUAGGGUUUAAACCCUAAACUGAACUUUUCCUUUCAGUCAGCAUUAGGGUUUUAAACCCUAAACUGAACUCUUUCCCUUUAGUCAGCAUUAGGGUUUAAACCUAAACUGAACUUUCCUUCAGUCAGCAUAGGGUUUUAAACCCUAAACUGAACUCUUUCCCUUUAGUCAGCAUUAGGGGUUUAAACCCUAAACUGAACUUUUUCCUUUAGUCAGCAUUAGGGUUUUAAACCCUAACUGAACAUUUCCUUUCAGUCAGCAUUAGGGUUUUAAACCCUAAACUGAACUUUUUCCUUCCAGUCAGUCUAUUAGGGUUUUAAACCUUAAACUGUAUCUUUUCCAGUCAGUCAGUCAUUAGGGUUUAAACCCUAAACUGAACUCUUUCCUUUCAGUCAGCUAUUAGGGUUUAAACCCUAAACUGAACUUUUCCCUUUAGUCAGCUAUUAGGGUUUUAAACCCUAAACUGAACUUUUUCUUUAGUCAGCAUUAGGGUUUUAAACCCUAAACUGAACUUUU
Molecule: long non-coding RNA, 543 nt
Filed under: Nicotiana tabacum (common tobacco)
Lineage: Eukaryota; Viridiplantae; Streptophyta; Magnoliopsida; Solanales; Solanaceae
Description: long non-coding RNA (NTAB_LNC017493)
Source: RNAcentral